Molecule: ribosomal RNA, 540 nt
Filed under: Strepsichordaia lendenfeldi
Lineage: Eukaryota; Metazoa; Porifera; Demospongiae; Dictyoceratida; Thorectidae
Description: eukaryotic LSU rRNA
Rfam family: Eukaryotic large subunit ribosomal RNA
Source: RNAcentral
AACCAGAAGGCGCAAUGAAAGUGAAGGCACGGUCGCCGUGCUGAGGUGAGAGCUGUCGCCUGGCAGCGCAUCAUCGACCGAUCCCAUCCGCUCCCUCGUGGUGCGGCGGGAUUCGAGUAAGAGUGCAUCUGUUGCGACCCGAAAGAUGGUGAACUAUGCCUGAAUAGGGUGAAGCCAGAGGAAACUCUGGUGGAGGCCCGUAGCGAUUCUGACGUGCAAAUCGAUCGUCAAAUUUGGGUAUAGGGGCGAAAGACUAAUCGAACCAUCUAGUAGCUGGUUCCCUCCGAAGUUUCCCUCAGGAUAGCUGUAGCCCGAAGCAGUUUUAUCAGGUAAAGCGAAUGAUUAGAGGUAUCGGGGAAGAAACUUCCUCGACCUAUUCUCAAACUUUAAAUAGGUAAGAAGUCCGACUUGCUCAAUUUGAAGCCGGACACAGAAUGCUGGGUUACUAGUGGGCCAUUUUUGGUAAGCAGAACUGGCGAUGCGGGAUGAACCGAACGCCGAGUUAAGGUGCCAAAGUCGACGCUCAUCAGAUCCCACAAA